Pelecanus crispus (Dalmatian pelican) is the source of this 226-nucleotide non-coding RNA. NCBI's taxonomy places the organism in Eukaryota, Metazoa, Chordata, Aves, Pelecaniformes, Pelecanidae. The record is from RefSeq and is a predicted model, not a curated record.
AGGUGAAACUGCAGGAGUCCAUUGAAUAUGAAGAUUUAGCAAAGAAUAAUAGCAUUAAAACUAUUGCACUAAACUUAAAGAAGUCUGAUAGGUAUUAUCAUGGUCCAACUCCAAUUCAAUCACAGCAAUAUGCAACCAGUCAGGAUAUAAUUAAUUCUUUUCAUAGUAUUAGGCAAGAAAUGGAAGCAUAUGUACCCAAACUAACUCAGGUUCUUUCAAGUGGUGA